Molecule: long non-coding RNA, 853 nt
Filed under: Junco hyemalis (dark-eyed junco)
Lineage: Eukaryota; Metazoa; Chordata; Aves; Passeriformes; Passerellidae
Description: lncRNA (ENSJHYG00000009711.1)
Source: RNAcentral
AAGUCUGACAGGCUUGAAGAAGUCUGGGCAUUAUUUGGACAAAGCCCUCAGGCACAGGGUGUGAUUCUUGGGGAUGUCCUGUCCAGGGCCAGGAUCUGGACUUGAUGAUCCUGAUGGGUCCCUUGAGCUCAGCACAUUCUGUGAUUCUGUUGGAAUACAGUCAGUGGUAAAUUGGACAAGUUAGGGCACAGGUAGAUUUAGUGCAAGCAGUAGAGAGGCCCUGAAGACUCAGGGAUAACAGAGAACACAGCAGUCAUUUGCUACACACCUAAUGCAAAUGCUAGAAUGGGUCUGUUGCAACAACUCCACCUAUUCAAUCAUUUGAAUAAUUUGAGGCAUUUGGCUUCCUUACCCUUUCAGAAGCAGUCUGAGUGCUGCUUUUGCUGACAGCCAUUCAUUCACGUGUCUCUUCAGGACAGCUCAUGAAUCUGCUUGCACCUCCUUAGCUCCCAGGCCACCUCUUCUCUCAUGCUCCUUCCUCCCUUUGAAAUUCUCUUAUUGGAGGCCCAAAGAUGGCAGUCUCCUGCCCCAGACCACCUGGGGAAAAUGGUCUUUACUGAAAUGGAAGAUAUCUGCCAGUUCCCUUCUGAGAUGCUUCCUUGAUUGGCUGCCUGCAGGGAGCCCAAGGCAGCUCUGAGCCCCAGGCCUGGAUUUAUGCAUUUCAUCAGCCAUCUACUUUGGAGAGGAAUGGCAUAAAUUUCAACACAUCUGCUAUUUUUGCCUGCAAAAUAUUCAAAAUUGUUUCUGCAGAAGCUACGGGCAGCAGUGGGGGACAUUUAUUUAAAGAAACUUGGAACAAUGGAUCACUAGUGAUUAAAAUAAAAAUGGAAAUUACAUUCUGGAUGUAGGAGGC